GACGAACGCUGGCGGCGUGCUUAACACAUGCAAGUCGAACGGAAAGGCCCUGCUUUUGUGGGAUGCUCGAGUGGCGAACGGGUGAGUAACACGAGAGUAACCUGCCCUUGACUUUGGGAUAACUUCAGGAAACUGGGGCUAAUACCGGAUAGGAGCUCCUGCUGCAUGGUGGGGGUUGGAAAGUUUCGGCGGUUGGGGAUGGACUCGCGGCUUAUCAGCUUGUUGGUGGGGUAGUGGCUUACCAAGGCUUUGACGGGUAGCCGGCCUGAGAGGGUGACCGGCCACAUUGGGACUGAGAUACGGCCCAGACUCGUAAGGGAGGCAGCAGUGGGGAAUAUUGCACAAUGGGCGGAAGCCUGAUGCAGCAACGCCGCGUGCGGGAUGACGGCCUUCGGGUUGUAAACCGCUUUCGCCUGUGACGAUGCGUGAGUGACGGUAAUGUGUAAAGAAGCACCGGCUAACUACGUG
This 468-nucleotide ribosomal RNA is filed under the name uncultured bacterium. RNAcentral describes it as "partial 16S ribosomal RNA". It matches the Rfam family "Bacterial small subunit ribosomal RNA", at positions 28 to 507 of the family's 1533-position model. The record is from RNAcentral.